This 223-nucleotide ribosomal RNA is filed under the name uncultured bacterium. RNAcentral describes it as "partial 16S ribosomal RNA". It matches the Rfam family "Bacterial small subunit ribosomal RNA", at positions 111 to 334 of the family's 1533-position model. The record is from RNAcentral.
UAACGCGUGGGUAACCUGCCUCACACAGGGGGAUAACAGUUAGAAAUGACUGCUAAUACCGCAUAAGCGCACAGCACCGCAUGGUGCAGUGUGAAAAACUCCGGUGGUGUGAGAUGGAUCCGCGUCUGAUUAGCUAGUUGGCGGGGUAACGGCCCACCAAGGCGACGAUCAGUAGCCGGCCUGAGAGGGCGACCGGCCACAUUGGGACUGGGACACGGCCCAG